GCUGGGGCACCUUGGUCAGCAUGGCCGAAUUGGGCCAAAUGUUGGUCUGUUUCCGUGCUGUGUGACUCCGCCUCCAUGACUCUAUAACAAACUUCCUUUUACAUCAUGCAAAGAAAAGUUAGUCCAGAUGGAGCUGGUUAAAACUCCCUAUUCAUGGAACCACAUCAUCCCAGUGGAGUUGGCUGGUCGGAAUCACCUCCAACCCACACAACCAGGAAAGCUGAAGGAUGUAAAUUCACCGACUGCGCAUUGGUGAGACAUGUCAUGCAUCAGACCUUUGGUGUAGAAUAGGACUGUGGAAUUCUUCAGACAGUCAGAAUGACUAGUAUUUCUCUCCAGGAACUCAAGGGUGGAUACGUUGAGAGGAGGAACGAUUUCUCUCACCUUGGACGGAGAAAUAGGAAGGCAUUUGGUGGAAUGUAGAAGCAAGGAACUGCAGAUGCCAGCGUGCAAAAGAAGACACAGAGUGCUGGAGCAACUCAGCGGUUCAGGCAGCAUCUCUAGGAAACAUGGAGAGGUGUCGUUUCGGGGUCGGGACCAUUCCUCAGGGUGGAUCGACCACUAAAAGCAGCUUCAAAGGACAUUUGGGCAGGUAUGUGGAGGUUUAGAGGGAGCUUUAUGGACCAGGUGUGACCAACUACAAUCCUACCACAACCAGACGGCAGUCCUGAACUACUAUCCACCUCUUUGGUGAACUUACUAUCCACCCCCUGCAGGAACUAUACAAUAGGAGGUGCAACUCCAGAGCAAACAAAAUCAUGAGAGACCCCUUCCACCCCUGCAACGGACUGUUCCAGCUGCUACGGUCGGGCAAACGCCUCCGUUGCCAUGCGGUGAGAACGGAGAGGUUGAGAAGGAGUUUCUUCCCAGAGGCAAUUCGGACUGUAAACGCCUAUCUCACCAGGGACUAACUCUACAGAACGUUUUUCCUUCCAUUAUUUAUUAUGUAAAAGAAUAUGUGUGUUAUGAUUGUGUUUAUAAUUUGUUUGGUUGUUUUGUUGUUUGUCUUUUGCACAAAAGUCCGCGAUCAUGUAUCUGUACACUGUAAAUGGAUCGAAUGUUAUCAUGUGUCGUCUUUCUGCUGACUGGUUAGCAGCAACAAAAAGCUUUUCCCUGUACCUCGGUCCACGUGACAAUAAACUCAACAACCAGCUUGGAUGAAACAUGGAUGAGUUGGGCCGAAGGACCUCGCUGGACCUCUCUGUCCUCUAGACCCCUCCUCGACCCCUCGAAAUCUCCAUCCACAUCGGGACGAUUUGCUCCCAUUUAUUGCAUUUCAAUAUAUCAAAGAAAUAAAACUUCUAUCUCAGCCUUUCACAGUCUGAUCCAGAUCUCGAUGUCCACUUAGUCUGAAAGUAUUUUAAUGGAACACGGAUGCCUGUCCCGGGAGAGAGGCGAUGAGAGGCACAGAUUUCUCCAAAAGCCGCGCUUGGCUAAAAAUAGAACGAUGAAACACAGACAGGCUGAAAUGAUGGAGAGCAAACUCUCACUGCACCCGCUCAUCACGGUGUUAAACAAGGUUAUCUUUAUCAGGGGGCAGACAUUCAGAGGGAGUUGCGGUGAACACUGAGAAUGGCCGCCACAGCCUGCGUUCAUGUUUCAGCCGCAGCCUCCCUCCAGAGCUGCUCUGCUUUUAAUCCCAUUCCAAAUGUCCAAAUGGUGCUCAUCUGGAAGCAGGAAUGUCCUGGAUGUGCCCACGCCAAGUGCGGAAAUAUUUGAUCGGAACGCUCCAUCCUCAUCCAGCGGACUGGAGAACGGGUGUGUUUAGACUUUAGACUUUAGAGAUACAGCGCGGAAAUAGGCCCUUCGGCCCACCGAGUCUGUGCCGGCCAGCGAUCUCCUCGCACACCAGUGCUAUCCUUACACACUAAGGGACAAUUUACAGAUUAACCCACUAACCUGUACGUCUUUGUUAUGUGGGAGGAAACCAGAACAUCCGGAGAAAACCCACAUGGUUACAGGGCGAAUGUACAAACACCGUACAGACAGCACCCGUAGUCAGGUUCGAACCUGGGUCUCUGGUGCUGUGAGGCAGUAACUCUACCGCUGCGCCACCGUGCAUGAUGCAACAGCGGUAUGAUGAUCUGGACCAUCCUAUCACCAACAAGAGAGCGGUCCUGACCGACCAUCCACCUCGUUGGAGACCUUCGAAUUGUCUUUAAUCGGACUUUACUGGAGUGUGUCUUGCACUAAACGUUAUUUCCUUUAUCCUGUAUCUGUACACUGUGGACAGCUAGACUGUAAUCAUGUACAGUCUUUCCGCUGACUGGGAUAGCUCGAAAAACAAAAAGGUUUUUCACUGUACCUUGGUACACAUGACAAUAAACGGAACUAAACUAAAC
Leucoraja erinaceus (little skate) is the source of this 2342-nucleotide long non-coding RNA. RefSeq lists it as uncharacterized. The record is from RefSeq and is a predicted model, not a curated record. NCBI's taxonomy places the organism in Eukaryota, Metazoa, Chordata, Chondrichthyes, Rajiformes, Rajidae. The transcript has 3 exons.